RNAcentral lists this ribosomal RNA (2247 nucleotides) under Euglenaria caudata. Its description in RNAcentral is "SSU rRNA". It matches the Rfam family "Eukaryotic small subunit ribosomal RNA". The record is from RNAcentral. Lineage: Eukaryota; Euglenozoa; Euglenophyceae; Euglenales; Euglenaceae.
AUGCAUAUCUCAGCGCACAUGGAUGUAGACAGUGGAUCUGUGUAUGGCUCCUUACAUCAGCAGUCAUUUCCGUGAUAGAGUGUGGCUGGCACCUGGGAGUGCCCUACAGGACAUCCUCCAAAACCUGGUGGCUAAUACACGUUCGCGCGGGUCUGCCACGCUACAACCCUGCUGUGACCCCUGUGGCCCGUCCAUCGGGAUGCCCACACAGGUGGAAGAUCGCACCCGGUCGCUGGUGAAGACCAGCGCCCGGUCAACGGCAGUUGUGCGUGGUUGACUCAGGCCGGUCCCUCCGCGGGACGCCGGCGUUGGCAGAGUGAUGUGGCUCCGGCCACAAGCAUGCUUGAUCACACAAACUUCUGACCUAUCAGCUCAGGACUGUGGCGUAGUGGCCCACAGUGGCGGCAACGGGUAACGGAGAAUUUGGGUUUGAUUCCGGAGAGGGAGCCUGAGAAACGGCUGCCACUACCAAGGUGGGCAGCAGGCACGCAAAUUGCCCAAUACAGGAGCACUCUUGUGAGGCAGCGACGAGCAGUAGCAAUCCCGCCAGCAUUAUCGCUGGUGGGACUUGGAAUGGAUGCAAUCCAAACACCGUGAUGAGUACCAACUGGAGGGCAAGUCUGGUGCCAGCAGCUGCGGUAAUUCCAGCUCCAGCGGCGUAUACUAACAUUGCUGCGGUUGAAACGUUUGUAGUCGAACUCUGGGUCCUGGUCUGCCAGGUGGCCGGUGGGUCCUCUGGUCGCCGGUGGGGGGCUUGCCCCCCGCCUAGGCGGCCCCGGGGGUCCGCUGGAACACAACCCCUGGCAGUAGGUCCAGUGCCCGCCCUCAGAUGGUCUGAUCAGCUCCUGUGUGAAGUCCCCUUCAGUGGGGAUCGAAACGGUCCGUGCACCCGACACAUGCUUGGACGCCCACAGGGGUGCUGGCCCCGUGCCGCACAUCCACCCUGGUCCAUCACCGGAGUCUACCAUCGCAGUCACCGUGGAAAACUCAGUGUGCUCAAAGCAACCAGAACUGGCUGCAUGCUCCUCCAUGGAAUGUCACAGUAUCGACUGGAUGCGGCAAGGGAGUUGUGCUGGCCUUGGUGCCCAUCCCAGGCAACGUGGUGCUGUCCCCCGGCGGACCCCGCGUGGGGUCCCCUCGGCCUCCGGGUCGGGGUGGUCCCGCCAGACCGUCGGUGGUGGCAGCAUCUAACGCCUCCAAGGGGACUGUUCAGGGUGCAAGAGACGGCAACGCCAGAGGUGAAAUUCUUAGACCGUUGCCAGAUCAGCAGCGGCGAAGGCGUUCUGCAAGGACACGUUCAUUGAUCAAGAGCGAAAGCCUGGGGAUCGAAGAGGAUCAGACACCCUCGUAGUCCAGCGCUGUAAACCAUGCCAGCUCGGCAACGGUGGGGAAAGUCAACCAACCCCAUCGGAGCCAUGCCCCCUGCAACGAGAAAUCCAAGCCUUUGGGUUCCGGGGGGAGUACUGUCGCAAGGCUGAAACUUAAAGGAAUUGACGGAAUGGCACCACAAGGUGUGGAGUAUGCGGCUUAAUUUGACUCAACGCGGGGAAUGUUACCAGGUCAGGACGUUGCUGGGAUGGACAGAUUGAGAGCUCUUUCUUGAUCCUUCGGAUGGUGGUGCAUGGCCGCUCCUGAUUGGUGGAGUGAUUUGUCUGGUUGAUUCCGAUAACGAGUGAGAUAUCUACCUCCCACUGGCACCAGUCUCGCACAACUUUGUAGGGUUCUGGCCGUGGCCUCCCAGGCCGUGGUGCGGUGGGGGUCUCGACCCCCGUCCGUGCCCGGUCCGUGGGGGCCGCACCGAGGCCGCCCGAGAGGCUCGGUCCUUUGCUUCUCUGAGGUGCUGUGUCCGCCACAAAGGGCAAGCAUGCUAGAGCCAACAGCAGGUCUGUGAUGCUCCCAGAUGUCCUGGGCCGCACGCGCACUACAUUGACUCAGUGAAGGUGUUUGCCCUUGCUUCUCUGCCAAGGCCUGCCCCGAGGGGGGUGGGAAACCCUGCAAGCCUGAGCUGUACUGGGGAUAGAUGAUUGCAACUGUCUGCCUUGAACGUGGAAUACCUAGUAUGCGCAGGUCAUCAGCCUGCACAGAUUGUGUCCCUGCCAUUUGUACACACCGCCCGUCGUUGCUACCGAUGGCAGCAGGAUAGAGCCAUCAGGAGGCCUCCCGGGUCGAAAAGGGUCCCCACCGCAAGGUCGGGUGUGCCCUCCCGCGCCAAAAUUGGGCAAUGUCCUGCUGCUAGAGGAAGCAAAA